Molecule: non-coding RNA, 315 nt
Organism: Pelobates cultripes (western spadefoot toad)
Lineage: Eukaryota; Metazoa; Chordata; Amphibia; Anura; Pelobatidae
Source: the annotation of a GenBank genome assembly
CUAAAGCGUGCACGAGUCGGAGGGCUCGCAGCCAUAACCCGCGGCGCAAUGAAGGUGAGCCUUUUUGGCACCCCAGUCGAGGUGGGAUCCCACCGCCCCGCGCGGCAAAGGGUGCACCACCGGCCCGUCUCGCUGGCCCCGUCCGGGAGGUGGAGCGUGAGCGCGUGCAAUAGGACCCGAAAGAUGGUGAACUAUGCCUGGGCAGGGCGAAGCCAGAGGAAACUCUGGUGGAGGUCCGCAGCGUUCCUGACGUGCAAAUCAGUCAUCCGACCUGGGUAUAGGGGCGAAAGACUAAUCGAACCGUCUAGUAGCUGG